RNAcentral lists this long non-coding RNA (343 nucleotides) under Brassica rapa (field mustard). Its description in RNAcentral is "long non-coding RNA (BRAP_LNC005770)". Lineage: Eukaryota; Viridiplantae; Streptophyta; Magnoliopsida; Brassicales; Brassicaceae. The record is from RNAcentral.
UAUGAUUUACCCAAGAAUUUUGGGUUUACCCAAAAGUUUUGGGAUUAGUGUUUAAGAUUUAGAGUUUAGUGUUUUACUGACGGCAUUAACAAUCUUAAAUUUUUUUUUUUGCACCUAUUAUUUUUUGGAUUAUAAUAAAAUUAGCAUGCUUAUUUUUAAUGGAAAAAAUCAGACAUAAAUAAAAGAACAAGAGGGAAGAAUAAAAAAUAUGUUUGUUGUGUUCUUUGUAUUUUUAUAUGCUUAUGUAUUUAAUUUUUAUUUGUUUGUCGAGGUACAUGUACUUUUUGUGUUACUAUAAAUGUGAACUAAUUAGUUUUAUGUUUUUUUUAAAUGUUAAGAUAAA